ACUCAAGACCCAAACACCACUCAUCCGCCAACACGGCCCGCACACCCAGCACUCCCAGACGAACCGCGCCCCGCACGCCAAGACGCGUGCAGGCAAGCGGAAGCAUACGGGAGCGCCGAGCCAACGCCGCUGGGCAGGGUUCGGGGGAAGCGACGAAUAACAUUCAAGGGACAGCCAGAUGCGUGAGGUGCUUCGGGCGAUAGCCGAACAGCCGCACCGUCUUAAGCAACACGCCCA
Non-coding RNA from Arachis ipaensis, 237 nucleotides. The record is from RefSeq and is a predicted model, not a curated record. Lineage: Eukaryota; Viridiplantae; Streptophyta; Magnoliopsida; Fabales; Fabaceae.